GGGCUCUUAGUUAAACGGUAUAACAUGGCAUUCGCAUUGCUAAGUUGGGGGUUCAAUUCCCCCAGAGUCCACAA
RNAcentral lists this transfer RNA (74 nucleotides) under Candidatus Collierbacteria bacterium RIFOXYD1_FULL_40_9. Its description in RNAcentral is "tRNA-Ala". It matches the Rfam family "tRNA". Rfam says of the family: Transfer RNA (tRNA) molecules are approximately 80 nucleotides in length. Their secondary structure includes four short double-helical elements and three loops (D, anti-codon, and T loops). Further hydrogen bonds mediate the characteristic L-shaped molecular structure. tRNAs have two regions of fundamental functional importance: the anti-codon, which is responsible for specific mRNA codon recognition, and the 3' end, to which the tRNAs corresponding amino acid is attached (by aminoacyl-tRNA synthetases). tRNAs cope with the degeneracy of the genetic code in two manners: having more than one tRNA (with a specific anti-codon) for a particular amino acid; and 'wobble' base-pairing, i.e. permitting non-standard base-pairing at the 3rd anti-codon position. The record is from RNAcentral. Lineage: Bacteria; Candidatus Collieribacteriota.